GUACACUCCUGCGGGAGGCAGCAGUGGGGAAUCUUGCGCAAUGGGCGAAAGCCUGACGCAGCCAUGCCGCGUGAAUGAUGAAGGUCUUAGGAUUGUAAAAUUCUUUCACCGGGGACGAUAAUGACGGUACCCGGAGAAGAAGCCCCGGCUAACUUCGUGCCAGCAGCCGCGGUAAUACGAAGGGGGCUAGCGUUGCUCGGAAUUACUGGGCGUAAAGGGAGCGUAGGCGGACAUUUAAGUCAGGGGUGAAAUCCCGGGGCUCAACCUCGGAAUUGCCUUUGAUACUGGGUGUCUUGAGUAUGAGAGAGGUGUGUGGAACUCCGAGUGUAGAGGUGAAAUUCGUAGAUAUUCGGAAGAACACCAGUGGCGAAGGCGACACACUGGCUCAUUACUGACGCUGAGGCUCGAAAGCGUGGGGAGCAAACAGGAUUAGAUACCCCAGUAGUCCCAUGA
This 453-nucleotide ribosomal RNA is filed under the name uncultured organism. Its description in RNAcentral is "partial 16S ribosomal RNA". It matches the Rfam family "Bacterial small subunit ribosomal RNA", at positions 331 to 800 of the family's 1533-position model. The record is from RNAcentral.